RNAcentral lists this ribosomal RNA (750 nucleotides) under uncultured bacterium. Its description in RNAcentral is "bacterial SSU rRNA". It matches the Rfam family "Bacterial small subunit ribosomal RNA", at positions 43 to 777 of the family's 1533-position model. The record is from RNAcentral.
UAAGGACCAACCGCGCAGCUGACCGGAGAGCACCUCCGGGGUCUCACGUGGGCGAACGGGUGAAGUCACACGUACGGGAAACCCGGCCCGCGCACCGGGAAUAACGCUCCGGAAACGGAGAAACAAAUUCCCGACGUACAGGAAGGAGGCAUCUUCUUCUGUGAAACAUCCUUUAGGGGAUGGGGCGCGGAUGGACCUGCGGUGCAUUAGUUGGUUGGCGGGGUAAAGGCCCACCAAGACGAUGAUGCAUAGCCGGCCUGAGAGGGUGGACGGCCACAUUGGGACUGAGACACGGCCCAGACUCCUGCGGGAGGCAGCAGUAGGGAAUUUUCGUCAAUGGGCGCAAGCCUGAACGAGCGAUGCCGCGUGAGUGAAGAAGGCCUUCGGGUCGUAAAGCUCUGUUGCGGGGGAAAAAAGGCAGCAUCAGGAAAUGGGUGCUGACUGAUGGUGCCCCGCCAGAAAGUCACGGCUAACUACGUGCCAGCAGCCGCGGUAAUACGUAGGUGGCGAGCGUUAUCCGGAAUGAUUGGGCGUAAAGGGUGCGCAGGCGGUCCUGCAAGUCUGGAGUGAAACGCAUGAGCUCAACUCAUGCAUGGCUUUGGAAACUGGAGGACUGGAGAGCAGGAAAGGGCGGUGGAACUCCAUGUGUAGCGGUAAAAUGCGUAAAUAUAUGGAAGAACACCAGUGCCGAAGGCAGCCGCCUGGCCUGUUGCUGACGCUGAAGCACGAAAGCGUGGGGAGCAAAUAGGA